This 435-nucleotide ribosomal RNA is filed under the name uncultured Flavobacterium sp. RNAcentral describes it as "bacterial SSU rRNA". It matches the Rfam family "Bacterial small subunit ribosomal RNA", at positions 358 to 790 of the family's 1533-position model. Lineage: Bacteria; Pseudomonadati; Bacteroidota; Flavobacteriia; Flavobacteriales; Flavobacteriaceae. The record is from RNAcentral.
GGAAUAUUGGUCAAUGGACGCAAGUCUGAACCAGCCAUGCCGCGUGCAGGAUGACGGUCCUAUGGAUUGUAAACUGCUUUUGUACAGGAAGAAACCCUACUUCGUGAAGUAGAUUGACGGUACUGUAAGAAUAAGGAUCGGCUAACUCCGUGCCAGCAGCCGCGGUAAUACGGAGGAUCCAAGCGUUAUCCGGAAUCAUUGGGUUUAAAGGGUCCGUAGGCGGUCUAGCAAGUCAGUGGUGAAAUCUCCCCGCUCAACGGGGAAACGGCCAUUGAUACUACUAGACUUGAAUUAUUAGGAAGUAACUAGAAUAUGUAGUGUAGCGGUGAAAUGCUUAGAUAUUACAUGGAAUACCAAUUGCGAAGGCAGGUUACUACUAAUGGAUUGACGCUGAUGGACGAAAGCGUGGGGAGCGAACAGGAUUAGAUACCCGGG